GGGUUGUGAGGUUAAGCGACUAAGCGUACACGGUGGAUGCCCUGGCAGUCAGAGGCGAUGAAGGGCGUGCUAAUCUGCGAUAAGCGCCGGUAAGGUGAUAUGAACCGUUAUAACCGGCGAUACCCGAAUGGGGAAACCCAGUGUGACUCGUCACACUAUCAUUAACUGAAUCCAUAGGUUAAUGAGGCGAACCGGGGGAACUGAAACAUCUAAGUACCCCGAGGAAAAGAAAUCAACCGAGAUUCCCCCAGUAGCGGCGAGCGAACGGGGAGGAGCCCAGAGCCUGAAUCAGCAUGUGUGUUAGUGGAAGCGUCUGGAAAGGCGCGCGAUACAGGGUGACAGCCCCGUACACAAAAGCGCAUGUGCUGUGAGCUCGAUGAGUAGG
Molecule: ribosomal RNA, 385 nt
Filed under: Salmonella enterica subsp. enterica serovar Enteritidis
Lineage: Bacteria; Pseudomonadati; Pseudomonadota; Gammaproteobacteria; Enterobacterales; Enterobacteriaceae
Description: partial 23S ribosomal RNA
Rfam family: Bacterial large subunit ribosomal RNA
Source: RNAcentral